This 341-nucleotide unclassified non-coding RNA is filed under the name soil metagenome. Its description in RNAcentral is "partial contains 5.8S ribosomal RNA, internal transcribed spacer 2, and large subunit ribosomal RNA". The stretch from base 1 to 120 matches the Rfam family "5.8S ribosomal RNA", at positions 35 to 154 of the family's 154-position model. The record is from RNAcentral.
GAUGAAGAACGCAGCGAAAUGCGAUAAGUAGUGUGAAUUGCAGAAUUCAGUGAAUCAUCGAAUCUUUGAACGCACAUUGCGCCCCUUGGUAUUCCAUGGGUCAUGCCUGUUCGAGCGUCAUUUGUACCCUCAAGCUAUGCUUGGUGUUGGGUGUUUGUCCUCUCCUUUUGCGAUUGGACUCGCCUUAAAGACAUUGGCAGCCAGUGUAUUGGUCUUGAAGCGCAGCACAUUUUGCGAUUCUUGCUGAUAAUCACUAGCGUCCAGUAAGCCUAUUUUAACACUUUUGACCUCGGAUCAGGUAGGGAUACCCGCUGAACUUAAGCAUAUCAAUAAGCGGAGGA